RNAcentral lists this ribosomal RNA (204 nucleotides) under Halomonas alimentaria. Its description in RNAcentral is "partial 16S ribosomal RNA". It matches the Rfam family "Bacterial small subunit ribosomal RNA", at positions 1329 to 1533 of the family's 1533-position model. Lineage: Bacteria; Pseudomonadati; Pseudomonadota; Gammaproteobacteria; Oceanospirillales; Halomonadaceae. The record is from RNAcentral.
GAAUCGCUAGUAAUCGUGGAUCAGAAUGUCACGGUGAAUACGUUCCCGGGCCUUGUACACACCGCCCGUCACACCAUGGGAGUGGACUGCACCAGAAGUGGUUAGCCUAACUUCGGAGGGCGAUCACCACGGUGUGGUUCAUGACUGGGGUGAAGUCGUAACAAGGUAGCCGUAGGGGAACCUGCGGCUGGAUCACCUCCUUAC